RNAcentral lists this long non-coding RNA (988 nucleotides) under Homo sapiens (human). RNAcentral describes it as "long non-coding RNA NONHSAT129983.2". Lineage: Eukaryota; Metazoa; Chordata; Mammalia; Primates; Hominidae. The record is from RNAcentral.
UUCUGUACUCUGGGUGACUCAGAGAGGGAAGAGAUUCAGCCAGCACACUCCUCGCGAGCAAGAUUACUCUACUGACUGGCAGAGACAGGAGAGGUAGAUGUCCACGCCCACAGACCCUGGUGCGAUGCCCCACCCAGGGCCUUCGCCGGGGCCUGGGCCUUCCCCUGGGCCAAUUCUUGGGCCUAGUCCAGGACCAGGACCAUCCCCAGGUUCCGUCCACAGCAUGAUGGGGCCAAGUCCUGGACCUCCAAGUGUCUCCCAUCCUAUGCCGACGAUGGGGUCCACAGACUUCCCACAGGAAGGCAUGCAUCAAAUGCAUAAGCCAUCGAUGGUAUACAUGACAAGGGGAUUGUAGAAGACAUCCAUUGUGGAUCCAUGAAGGGCACUGGUAUGCGACCACCUCACCCAGGCAUGGGCCCUCCCCAGAGUCCAAUGGAUCAACACAGCCAAGUUAUAUGUCACCACACCCAUCUCCAUUAGGAGCCCCAGAGCACGUCUCCAGCCCUAUGUCUGGAGGAGGCCCAACUCCACCUCAGAUGCCACCAAGCCAGCCGGGGGCCCUCAUCCCAGGUGAUCCGCAGGCCAUGAGCCAGCCCAACAGAGGUCCCUCACCUUUCAGUCCUGUCCAGCUGCAUCAGCUUCGAGCUCAGAUUUUAGCUUAUAAAAUGCUGGCCCGAGGCCAGCCCCUCCCCGAAACGCUGCAGCUUGCAGUCCAGGGGAAAAGGACGUUGCCUGGCUUGCAGCAACAACAGCAGCAGCAACAGCAGCAGCAGCAGCAGCAGCAGCAGCAGCAGCAGCAGCAACAGCAGCCGCAGCAGCAGCCGCCGCAACCACAGACGCAGCAACAACAGCAGCCGGCCCUUGUUAACUACAACAGACCAUCUGCCCGGGGCCGGAGCUGAGCGGCCCGAGCACCCCGCAGAAGCUGCCGGUGCCCGCGCCCGGCGGCCGGCCCUCGCCCGCGCCCCCCGCAGCCGCGCAGCCGCCC